Molecule: ribosomal RNA, 483 nt
Filed under: uncultured bacterium
Lineage: Bacteria
Description: partial 16S ribosomal RNA
Rfam family: Bacterial small subunit ribosomal RNA
Source: RNAcentral
AUUGAACGCUGGCGGCAUGCUUUACACAUGCAAGUCGAACGGCAGCGCGGGCUUCGGCCUGGCGGCGAGUGGCGAACGGGUGAGUAAUGCAUCGGAACGUGCCCAGUCGUGGGGGAUAGCCCGGCGAAAGCCGGAUUAAUACCGCAUACGACCUGAGGGUGAAAGCGGGGGACCGAAAGGCCUCGCGCUAUUGGAGCGGCCGAUGUCGGAUUAGCUAGUUGGUGGGGUAAAGGCUUACCAAGGCGACGAUCCGUAGCUGGUCUGAGGGGACGACCAGCCACACUGGAACUGAGACACGGCCAGACUCCUACGGGAGGCAGCAGUGGGGAAUUUUGGACAAAGGGGGCAACCCUGAUCCAGCCAUGCCGCGUGCGGGAAGAAGGCCUUCGGGUUGUAAACCGCUUUUGUUCGGGAAGAAAUCCUCUGGGCUAAUACCCCGGGGGGAUGACGGUACCGGAAGAAUAAGCACCGGCUAACUACGUG